Long non-coding RNA from Xiphophorus couchianus (Monterrey platyfish), 182 nucleotides. RefSeq lists it as uncharacterized. NCBI's taxonomy places the organism in Eukaryota, Metazoa, Chordata, Actinopteri, Cyprinodontiformes, Poeciliidae. The transcript is spliced from 2 exons. The record is from RefSeq and is a predicted model, not a curated record.
CCCGACUCAGAGCCCGGUCCCGACUCAGAGCCCGGUCCCGACUCUGAGGCAGGUCCCGACUCUGAGGCAGGUCCCGACUCUGAGACAGGUCCCGACUCAGAGGCAGGUCCCGACUCGGAGGCAGGUCCCGACUCGGAGGCAGGACGAGGCUCAAUGUUUGGUUCCCUCUGAGACGGUUUUUG